RNAcentral lists this ribosomal RNA (152 nucleotides) under uncultured eukaryote. RNAcentral describes it as "partial 18S ribosomal RNA". It matches the Rfam family "Eukaryotic small subunit ribosomal RNA", at positions 1299 to 1458 of the family's 1831-position model. The record is from RNAcentral.
UGGUGGAGUGAUUUGUCUGGUUAAUUCCGUUAACGAACGAGACCUUAACCUAUUAAAUAGUUGAUUGAACUUGAUUUCUAAAUCAAAUGUUCAAGUAACUUCUUAGAGGGACUCUUCACUGAGAGAGUGAAUGGAAGUUUGAGGCAAAAACA